ACUCAAAUGAAUUGACGGGGGCCCGCACAAGCAGUGGAUUAUGUGGUUUAAUUCGAAGCAACGCGAAGAACCUUACCGGGGAUUGACAUCCAACUAACGAAGCAGAGAUGCAUUAGGUGCCCUUCGGGGAAAGUUGAGACAGGUGGUGCAUGGUUGUCGUCAGCUCGUGUCGUGAGAUGUUGGGUUAAGUCCCGCAACGAGCGCAACCCUUAUUGUUAGUUGCUACGCAAGAGCACUCUAGCGAGACUGCCGUUGACAAAACGGAGGAAGGUGGGGACGACGUCAAAUCAUCAUGCCCCUUAUAUCCCGGGCUACACACGUAAUACAAUGGCGGUCAACAAAGGGAAGCAAAGCCGCGAGGCAGAGCAAAUCCCCAAAAGCCGUCUCAGUUCGGAUUGCAGGCUGCAACUCGCCUGCAUGAAGUCGGAAUUGCUAGUAAUCGCGGAUCAGCACGCCGCGGUGAAUACGUUCCCGGGCCUUGCACACACCGCCCGU
Molecule: ribosomal RNA, 495 nt
Filed under: uncultured bacterium
Lineage: Bacteria
Description: bacterial SSU rRNA
Rfam family: Bacterial small subunit ribosomal RNA
Source: RNAcentral